GUGGGUAUAAGAGACAGGUGAGUCAUCGAAUCUUUGAACGCACAUUGCGCCCGCUAGUAUUCUGGCGGGCAUGCCUGUUCGAGCGUCAUUUCAACCAUCAAGCCCCCCGGCUUGCGUUGGAGCCCUGCGGCUGCCGCAAGCUCCUAAAUCCAGUGGCGGGCUCGUCGUCGUACCGAGUGCAGUAAACAUCCUCGCUCAGGGAACGCGACGGGUUCUUGCCGUAAAACCCCCCCUAUAUCAAGGUUGACCUCGGAUCAGGUAGGAAUACCCGCUGAACUUAAGCAUAUCAAUAAGCGGAGG
Molecule: unclassified non-coding RNA, 300 nt
Filed under: uncultured Lasiosphaeriaceae
Lineage: Eukaryota; Fungi; Ascomycota; Sordariomycetes; Sordariales; Lasiosphaeriaceae
Description: sequence contains 5.8S rRNA gene, ITS2
Rfam family: 5.8S ribosomal RNA (bases 1-88)
Source: RNAcentral